GACGAACGCUGGCGGCGUGCUUAACACAUGCAAGUCGAACGGAAGGGCCCUGCUUUUGUGGGGUGCUCGAGUGGCGAACGGGUGAGUAACACGUGAGUAACCUGCCCUUGACUUUGGGAUAACUUCAGGAAACUGGGGCUAAUACCGGAUAGGAGCUCCUGCUGCAUGGUGGGGGUUGGAAAGUUUCGGCGGUUGGGGAUGGACUCGCGGCUUAUCAGCUUGUUGGUGGGGUAGUGGCUUACCAAGGCUUUGACGGGUAGCCGGCCUGAGAGGGUGACCGGCCACAUUGGGACUGAGAUACGGCCCAGACUCCUACGGUAGGCAGCAGUGGGGAAUAUUGCACAAUGGGCGGAAGCCUGAUGCAGCAACGCCGCGUGCGGGAUGACGGCCUUCGGGUUGUAAACCGCUUUCGCCUGUGACGAAGCGUGAGUGACGGUAAUGGGUAAAGAAGCACCGGCUAACUACGUG
RNAcentral lists this ribosomal RNA (468 nucleotides) under uncultured bacterium. Its description in RNAcentral is "partial 16S ribosomal RNA". It matches the Rfam family "Bacterial small subunit ribosomal RNA", at positions 28 to 507 of the family's 1533-position model. The record is from RNAcentral.